RNAcentral lists this transfer RNA (74 nucleotides) under Paracoccus sp. IB05. Its description in RNAcentral is "tRNA-Ser". The record is from RNAcentral. Lineage: Bacteria; Pseudomonadati; Pseudomonadota; Alphaproteobacteria; Rhodobacterales; Paracoccaceae.
GGCUUUGAUUUCAUUGGCUUUCUGACCGGAUUGCAAAUCCGUGAAGACCGGUUCGAUUCCGGUACCCGCCUCCA